This 436-nucleotide ribosomal RNA is filed under the name uncultured bacterium. Its description in RNAcentral is "partial 16S ribosomal RNA". It matches the Rfam family "Bacterial small subunit ribosomal RNA", at positions 28 to 508 of the family's 1533-position model. The record is from RNAcentral.
GAUGAACGCUGGCGGUAUGCUUAACACAUGCAAGUCGAACGGACUCUUCGGAGUUAGUGGCGGACGGGUGAGUAACGCGUGAGAAUCUGGCUUUGGGUUCGGGACAACCACUGGAAACGGUGGCUAAUACCGGAUGUGCCGAGAGGUAAAAGAGAAAUUGCCUGAAGAUGAGCUCGCGUCUGAUUAGCUAGUUGGUGAGGUAAAGGCUCACCAAGGCAGCGAUCAGUAGCUGGUCUGAGAGGAUGACCAGCCACACUGGGACUGAGACACGGCCCAGACUCCUACGGGAGGCAGCAGUGGGGAAUUUUCCGCAAUGGGCGAAAGCCUGACGGAGCAAUACCGCGUGAGGGAAGAAGGCUCUUGGGUUGUAAACCUCUUUUCUUAGGGAAGAACAAAAUGACGGUACCUAAGGAAUCAGCAUCGGCUAACUCCGUGC